Molecule: small RNA, 86 nt
Filed under: Dellaglioa algida DSM 15638
Lineage: Bacteria; Bacillati; Bacillota; Bacilli; Lactobacillales; Lactobacillaceae
Description: Lactobacillus algidus DSM 15638 RNA anti-toxin A
Rfam family: RNA anti-toxin A
Source: Rfam by way of RNAcentral
UGAUGUAAAGAAAAAGAAGCCCUGCGUCAACAGGACUUCUCUUAUAGAACCGUUAAAGACGGUAACUAGACUUAUGUUAUAAAAUA